Long non-coding RNA from Helianthus annuus (common sunflower), 1110 nucleotides. RefSeq lists it as uncharacterized. NCBI's taxonomy places the organism in Eukaryota, Viridiplantae, Streptophyta, Magnoliopsida, Asterales, Asteraceae. The transcript has 3 exons. The record is from RefSeq and is a predicted model, not a curated record.
ACCACCACCGGAAUUACUUCCGACGAAAUUGAAACGGCGUCGGAGAAGAAUAUUAUUAUUCAUACCACAGAGAGAGACGAAGGUGUAAUACCCGUAAUUACAUUAACUUCAUGACGAGCGGUCCAUGUAAAUUCUGUUAACCUAAUUCAGUUAUAAGUAGAAUGCCUGUUUCUUUAUUUACAUGAAUUUCUAAUUCAUAUAUGCAUAUACGUGUUCAUGUAUGUACUAACCCGUUUAUAUUGGUUCAAUUUAUAUGUAUCUAUAUCUCUGUUUUCAACCUAAUAAAUCCAAAUUGGGGGUAGUAUCACAAAGCAUUUUCAUGUUUCUUAAUUCAGAAGCUGUGGAUAUAUGACGUGGUUCACCUCACCGAGCUGUGGAUACAAGAUUGUUUGCGUAUUGACUCACACAUCCUGACCUUUGUUGAAAUUAAAUUAAUUGUGUCUGUGAUCACCAACAACCUUGGGCUAUAGAAUUUCAUCUUGUUAAAAUGUCUUUUUAUCAUAGACCGUCCAAGUAUAGAUGGAAACCGAAAUCUUGAAGAAAGGUGUAAUGGAAGAGGCUCCCACUAUAGUCUGCAGGCCCAUCAUCUCUCAUAUCCCCUACAUCAACACAAGAGACUCUUUCAAUAUGCAUAAAUUAAAUAUUUUGUUUUGUUUUCAUCCAGGCAGCAAAUUUUAAGGCAUGACAAACGGUUUAUUUGGAAAAAUAUGUGAUAUAUGUAAUGCCUUCUUUUAACUUCCCUUCACGAAUUCCUUAUUGGACUGAAUGAGGAAUGAGAGUAUAGUGGUUUCUAAUAAUCCUUGACUGCUUACUACUUGAGAGUGGGACCAAAAAAGGAACUUGUAACACCUUUUGUCAUAGAUUAAUACAAAGCUAAAUAGCAGAGUACAACAAAACAACCAACAUUCAAUGAAGCAGUUAAACUUAUUUUCUACAAACGAAUCUGCAAGUUGUACUCCAAUACUUCCAAGCCAACUUACAAAAUGUGGUUGACACUGUGAAAAGGUAAGAGUUACUUCAUAUUAUGCCAUUUUUCUAAGUGUAUAGUGCACGAUUUGUUCUUAUUGUUUUGUCAAAGCUACCGAUUUUAUUCUCAUUUUAAAACUUACA